RNAcentral lists this ribosomal RNA (253 nucleotides) under uncultured bacterium. Its description in RNAcentral is "partial 16S ribosomal RNA". It matches the Rfam family "Bacterial small subunit ribosomal RNA", at positions 524 to 776 of the family's 1533-position model. The record is from RNAcentral.
UACGGGGGGGGCAAGCGUUGUUCGGAAUUACUGGGCGUAAAGGGCUCGUAGGCGGCCAACUAAGUCAGACGUGAAAUCCCUCGGCUUAACCGGGGAACUGCAUCUGAUACUGGAUGGCUUGAGUUCGGGAGAGGGAUGUGGAAUUCCAGGUGUAGCGGUGAAAUGCGUAGAUAUCUGGAGGAACACCGGUGGCGAAGGCGACAUCCUGGACCGGUAUUGACGCUGAGGCGCGAAAGCCAGGGGAGCAAACGGG